Molecule: long non-coding RNA, 444 nt
Organism: Canis lupus familiaris (dog)
Lineage: Eukaryota; Metazoa; Chordata; Mammalia; Carnivora; Canidae
Exons: 3
Source: RefSeq, a predicted model, not a curated record
GUUCCCAAGAGUGAAUUCUCCUGAUAAGCAGGGUGUUUCCAGUCGUACCAGAAAAGCCAGCAAAGUGACCGGGCAGAGAGCUCACCAGCAAACCACUUCCCAACAUCUGUCAUGACUGGUCAGAGCUUCGAGUACACGAGUAAGGUCGUGCAAAGUGACACACCAACUCUGAGGACUCAGGGUAAGAACAAGGUGCCAUUUAGAGUUCAGCUCCUCAAAGCACCAUCCAUCAAAACCUUGCUCUUCCAAAAACCUCCCUUCAUCUCCCUGCACUCAGGAGGGUCCGCAGCUCCAAUCUGUUCCUCACAUCUCCAUCUCACCGAUAAAGAAACUGAGCCUUAAAGAGAGGAUAGCAUUCGCCCAGGGUUCCGCGGCCUGUAAAUAAAGAAGCCCAGAGAGCACCCAACACCAACACAUCCCUUCCUGUUGUGCCAUUGAAUUAAA